UGGGGAAUUUUGGACAAUGGGCGAAAGCCUGAUCCAGCAAUGCCGCGUGUGUGAAGAAGGCCUUCGGGUUGUAAAGCACUUUUGUCCGGAAAGAAAUCCUUGGCUCUAAUACAGUCGGGGGAUGACGGUACCGGAAGAAUAAGCACCGGCUAACUACGUGCCAGCAGCCGCGGUAAUACGUAGGGUGCAAGCGUUAAUCGGAAUUACUGGGCGUAAAGCGUGCGCAGGCGGUUUGCUAAGACCGAUGUGAAAUCCCCGGGCUCAACCUGGGAACUGCAUUGGUGACUGGCAGGCUAGAGUAUGGCAGAGGGGGGUAGAAUUCCACGUGUAGCAGUGAAAUGCGUAGAGAUGUGGAGGAAUACCGAUGGCGAAGGCAGCCCCCUGGGCCAAUACUGAGCGCUCAUGCACGAAAGCGUGGGGAGCAAACAGGAUUAGAUACCCUGGUAGUCCACGCCCUAAACGAUGUCAACUAGUUGUUGGGGAUUCAUUUCCUUAGUAACGUAGCUAACGCGUGAAGUUGACCGCCUGGGGAGUACGGUCGCAAGAUUAAAACUCAAAGGAAUUGACGGGGUCAUAGCUG
This 580-nucleotide ribosomal RNA is filed under the name uncultured bacterium. RNAcentral describes it as "partial 16S ribosomal RNA". It matches the Rfam family "Bacterial small subunit ribosomal RNA", at positions 355 to 932 of the family's 1533-position model. The record is from RNAcentral.